Molecule: unclassified non-coding RNA, 546 nt
Filed under: Ophiosphaerella korrae
Lineage: Eukaryota; Fungi; Ascomycota; Dothideomycetes; Pleosporales; Phaeosphaeriaceae
Description: partial contains 18S rRNA, ITS1, 5.8S rRNA, ITS2 and 28S rRNA
Rfam family: 5.8S ribosomal RNA (bases 184-337)
Source: RNAcentral
CCUGCGGAAGGAUCAUUACACGAUAGUACAGGCCCCAAGUGCAGCACAAACUGCAUGGGCGGGUUAUGUCUAUUACCCUUGUUUAUUGAGUACCUAUGUUUCCUUGGUGGGCUUGCCUGCCAAAAGGACACCCCAUUGAACCUAUUUAUUUUCAAUCAACGUCUGAAUAACAAUAAUAAUUACAACUUUCAACAACGGAUCUCUUGGUUCUGGCAUCGAUGAAGAACGCAGCGAAAUGCGAUAAGUAGUGUGAAUUGCAGAAUUCAGUGAAUCAUCGAAUCUUUGAACGCACAUUGCGCCCCUUGGUAUUCCAUGGGGCAUGCCUGUUCGAGCGUCAUUUGUACCUUCAAGCUAUGCUUGGUGUUGGGUGUUUGUCCACUCCACUGCGUCUGGACUCGCCUUAAAGCAAUUGGCAGCCUAUAUCUGGUUUUGAGCGCAGCACAUUUUGCGUCUUACUGCUAGUUAUGUGGGCACCCAUUAAGCCUCUUUAUCACGUUUGACCUCGGAUCAGGUAGGGAUACCCGCUGAACUUAAGCAUAUCAAUAA